This 69-nucleotide transfer RNA is filed under the name Marmota marmota marmota (Alpine marmot). It matches the Rfam family "tRNA". Rfam says of the family: Transfer RNA (tRNA) molecules are approximately 80 nucleotides in length. Their secondary structure includes four short double-helical elements and three loops (D, anti-codon, and T loops). Further hydrogen bonds mediate the characteristic L-shaped molecular structure. tRNAs have two regions of fundamental functional importance: the anti-codon, which is responsible for specific mRNA codon recognition, and the 3' end, to which the tRNAs corresponding amino acid is attached (by aminoacyl-tRNA synthetases). tRNAs cope with the degeneracy of the genetic code in two manners: having more than one tRNA (with a specific anti-codon) for a particular amino acid; and 'wobble' base-pairing, i.e. permitting non-standard base-pairing at the 3rd anti-codon position. The record is from Rfam by way of RNAcentral. Lineage: Eukaryota; Metazoa; Chordata; Mammalia; Rodentia; Sciuridae. RNAcentral also lists the same sequence under 3 other names.
GGUAAUGUAGCUCUGUGGUAGAGCACUUGCCUUACAAGUAGGAGAUCCUGGGUUUGAUCCAUAGUACCA